This is a long non-coding RNA of Esox lucius (northern pike), 1068 nucleotides long. Lineage: Eukaryota; Metazoa; Chordata; Actinopteri; Esociformes; Esocidae. The record is from Ensembl.
UUUAGACCUGGGACACCAGGUGUGUGCAAUUAAUGAUUAGGUGGACCAGAAAAUCAGCAGGCUCCGGAUCUUGAAGGGAAGCAGUUUAAUUCCCCUGGCAACUAUUACCUGACAACUCUGCCAUGUUACAAGUGUGAAGCAUCCAAGGGCACGCUGUUUCACAGCUUCACCUUAAGCCCUAAAACAGCCUCUUGUCUGGAGGUUUUGGGACCCUCCCCAGGGUGUUCAGAGACCCAGCUGAUGACCUGAUCUUGCCUGCUACCUCUUGCAGAUCGGACAAAAAAGAGAAAUGGAAGCUGUUGUCGUGUUCAUCAUCCAGGGCUGUGGUCAGGGCCGUGUUCGUCACCCAGGGCCGUGAUCAUCAUCAUCAUCCAGGGCUGAGGUCAGAGCCGUGAUCAUCAUCAUCCAGGGCUGUGGUCAGGGCCGUGUUCGUCAUCCAGAUACAUGCAAGCCCUGUCGACCUGUGAGACACACAGAGCCACCCACGCAGCUGGCAGUUCUGUGAGCCCUGCUUUUAGAGCCGCUCCAGAGGUCAUCCUCUGUCUGCUAACACAAAUCAUUGAGUUCUAAACAGAGCCGAGAAGAGAGAUGGGAUCUUUUAAACCUAUUAUACAAUGUAUUUUAGAGCACGGCAAACAUGAUUGCAUGGUUUUAAACACACAGUCAGAUUAACAAAUGCCCUAAAUCAGUCGGAAUUUGAAUAACAAGCUUCUUUUUUCCCUAGUUCCAUCUUUUGGUUUUUCUGUUCCAGUAAUGAAACAGUUAUACUAGGAUAUCAUAUUCGGUUUAGUUAAGCCUAUAUACAACACUGUGAUCAUUAUGUAAUCGUACAGAUAUUGAUACUGCUUGAAUCUUUGCUAUAUCACUUUCAAGAUGUAAAGCAAGGUAAUACAUACAUGCACAGAACUGGGUCUGCAAAUGCACAGAUACUUUGGGAAACUGAAUGUUUAGGUUUAAUGAUGUACUAAGGAUUUAGCCACGGCCUACAUUUAAAUGCCGCUUUUGGCACCACACCUAACUGUAUUCAGUAACUCUAGAUGACUGUCAUGGCUGGUCCAGUAGUAAAAC